CCUACGGGGUGCAGCAGUGAGGAAUAUUGGUCAAUGGGCGUAAGCCUGAACCAGCCAAGUCGCGUGAGGGAUGAAGGUUCUAUGGAUCGUAAACCUCUUUUAUAAGGGAAUAAAGUGUGGGACGUGUCCUGUUUUGUAUGUACCUUAUGAAUAAGGAUCGGCUAACUCCGUACCAGCAGCCGCGGUAAUACGGAGGAUCCGAGCGUUAUCCGGAUUUAUUGGGUUUAAAGGGUGCGUAGGCGGCCUUUUAAGUCAGCGGUGAAAGUCUGUGGCUCAACCAUAGAAUUGCCGUUGAAACUGGGAGGCUUGAGUAUGUUUGAGGCAGGCGGAAUGCGUGGUGUAGCGGUGAAAUGCUUAGAUAUCACGCAGAACCCCGAUUGCGAAGGCAGCCUGCCAAGCCAUGACUGACGCUGAUGCACGAAAGCGUGGGGAUCAAACAGGAUUAGAUACCCCAGUAGUC
RNAcentral lists this ribosomal RNA (460 nucleotides) under uncultured bacterium. RNAcentral describes it as "partial 16S ribosomal RNA". It matches the Rfam family "Bacterial small subunit ribosomal RNA", at positions 338 to 795 of the family's 1533-position model. The record is from RNAcentral.